This 646-nucleotide ribosomal RNA is filed under the name uncultured bacterium. RNAcentral's name for it is "bacterial SSU rRNA". It matches the Rfam family "Bacterial small subunit ribosomal RNA", at positions 51 to 710 of the family's 1533-position model. The record is from RNAcentral.
ACACAUGCAAGUCGAACGAGCGAGAGAGAGCUUGCUUUCUCGAGCGAGUGGCGAACGGGUGAGUAACGCGUGAGGAACCUGCCUCAAAGAGGGGGACAACAGUUGGAAACGACUGCUAAUACCGCAUAAGCCCACGACCCGGCAUCGGGUAGAGGGAAAAGGAGCAAUCCGCUUUGAGAUGGCCUCGCGUCCGAUUAGCUAGUUGGUGAGGUAACGGCCCACCAAGGCGACGAUCGGUAGCCGGACUGAGAGGUUGAACGGCCACAUUGGGACUGAGACACGGCCCAGACUCCUACGGGAGGCAGCAGUGGGGAAUAUUGCACAAUGGGGGAAACCCUGAUGCAGCGACGCCGCGUGGAGGAAGAAGGUCUUCGGAUUGUAAACUCCUGUUGUUGAGGAAGAUAAUGACGGUACUCAACAAGGAAGUGACGGCUAACUACGUGCCAGCAGCCGCGGUAAAACGUAGGUCACAAGCGUUGUCCGGAAUUACUGGGUGUAAAGGGAGCGCAGGCGGGAAGACAAGUUGGAAGUGAAAUCCAUGGGCUCAACCCAUGAACUGCUUUCAAAACUGUUUUUCUUGAGUAGUGCAGAGGUAGGCGGAAUUCCCGGUGUAGCGGUGGAAUGCGUAGAUAUCGGGAGGAACACC